Molecule: RNA transcript, 2738 nt
Organism: Nomascus leucogenys (northern white-cheeked gibbon)
Lineage: Eukaryota; Metazoa; Chordata; Mammalia; Primates; Hylobatidae
Gene: CRTC2
Gene name: CREB regulated transcription coactivator 2
Exons: 15
Source: RefSeq, a predicted model, not a curated record
AACAGGUCAAGGCUAGGCUGGGGCCGGGUUCGCGGUGCUCGCUGAGGCGGCGGUGGCUACGGCUGGAGGAGCCGGGCCGGGGCCGCGGCGGAGGCCGCGGCUGGUACUGGGAGGGUGGCAGGGAGGGACGGGGAAGGAAGAUGGCGACGUCGGGGGCGAACGGGCCUGGCUCGGCCACGGCCUCGGCUUCCAAUCCGCGCAAAUUUAGUGAGAAGAUCGCGCUGCAGAAGCAGCGUCAGGCCGAGGAGACGGCGGCCUUCGAGGAGGUGAUGAUGGACAUCGGCUCCACCCGGUUACAGGCCCAAAAACUGCGACUGGCAUACACAAGGAGCUCUCAUUAUGGUGGGUCUCUGCCCAAUGUUAACCAGAUUGGCUCUGGCCUGGCCGAGUUCCAGAGCCCCCUCCACUCACCUUUGGAUUCAUCUCGGAGCACUCGGCACCAUGGGCUGGUGGAACGGGUGCAGCGAGAUCCUCGAAGAAUGGUGUCCCCACUUCGCCGAUACCCCCGCCACAUUGACAGCUCUCCCUAUAGUCCUGCCUACUUAUCUCCUCCCCCAGAGUCUAGCUGGCGAAGGACGAUGCCCUGGGGCAAUUUCCCUGCAGAGAAGGGGCAGUUGUUUCGACUACCAUCUGCACUUAACAGGACAAGCUCUGACUCUGCCCUUCAUACAAGUGUGAUGAACCCCAGUCCCCAGGAUACCUACCCAGGCCCCACACCUCCCAGCAUCCUGCCCAGCCGACGUGGGGGUAUUCUGGAUGGUGAAAUGGACCCCAAAGUCUUUCUCUUUCAAGUACCUGCUAUUGAGGAGAACUUGCUAGAUGACAAGCAUUUGCUGAAGCCAUGGGAUGCUAAGAAGCUAUCCUCAUCCUCUUCCCGACCUCGGUCCUGUGAAGUCCCUGGAAUUAACAUCUUUCCAUCUCCUGACCAGCCUGCCAAUGUGCCUGUCCUCCCACCUGCCAUGAACACGGGGGGCUCCCUACCUGACCUCACCAACCUGCACUUUCCCCCACCACUGCCCACCCCCCUGGACCCUGAAGAGACAGCCUACCCUAGCCUGAGUGGGGGCAACAGUACCUCCAAUUUGACCCACACCAUGACUCACCUGGGCAUCAGCGGGGGCAUGGGCCUGGGCCCAGGCUAUGAUGCACCAGGACUUCAUUCACCUGUCAGCCACCCAUCCCUGCAGUCCUCCCUAAGCAAUCCCAACCUCCAGGCUUCCCUGAGCAGUCCUCAGCCCCAGCUUCAGGGCUCCCACAGCCACCCCUCUCUGCCUGCCUCCUCCUUGGGCCGCCAUGCACUGCCCAUCACCUCCCUGGGCCACCCCUCACUCAGUGCUCCAGCUCUCUCCUCCUCUUCUUCCUCCUCCUCCACUUCAUCUCCUGUUUUGGGCGCCCCCCCUUACCCUGCCUCUACCCCUGGGGCCUCCCCGCACCACCGCCGUGUGCCCCUCAGCCCCCUGAGUUUGCUCGCGGGCCCAGCCGACGCCAGAAGGUCCCAACAGCAGCUGCCCAAACAGUUUUCGCCAACAAUGUCACCCACCUUGUCUUCCAUCACUCAGGGCGUCCCCCUGGAUACCAGUAAACUGUCCACUGACCAGCGAUUGCCCUCAUACCCAUACAGCUCCCCAAGUCUGGUUCUGCCUACCCAGCCACACACCCCAAAGUCUCUACAGCAGCCAGGGCUGCCCUCUCAGUCUUGUUCAGUGCAGUCCUCAGGUGGGCAGCCCCCAGGCAGGCAGUCUCAUUAUGGGACACUGUACCCACCUGGGCCCAGUGGGCACGGGCAACAGUCUUACCACCGGCCAAUGAGUGACUUCAACCUGGGGAAUCUUGCUCUUUGAUGACUUCUGCCUUGACCCGUUCUCUUCCUGGCAUGCACAUGCUCUGGCCCAGCAGCUGGAGCAGUUCAGCAUGGAGAGCCCAUCAACCAGCCUGGUGCUGGAUCCCCCUGGCUUUUCUGAAGGGCCUGGAUUUUUAGGGGGUGAGGGGCCAAUGGGUGGCCCCCAGGAUCCCCACACCCUCAACCACCAGAACUUGACCCACUGUUCCCGCCAUGGCUCAGGGCCUAACAUCAUCCUCACAGGGGACUCCUCUUCAGGUUUCUCUAAGGAGAUUGCAGCAGCCCUGGCCGGAGUGCCUGGCUUUGAGGUGUCAGCAGCUGGAUUGGAGCUAGGGCUUGGGCUAGAAGAUGAGCUGCGCAUGGAGCCACUGGGCCUGGAAGGGCUAAACAUGCUGAGUGACCCCUGUGCCCUGCUGCCCGAUCCUGCUGUGGAGGAUUCAUUCCGCAGUGACCGGCUCCAAUGAGGGGACCUCAUCACUAUCCCUCUUCUUGGCCCCAUCCCCCACCACCGUUCCUUUCCUCCCUUCCCCCUGGCAGGUAGAGACUCUACUCUCUGUCCCCAGAUCCUCUUUCUAGCAUGAAUGAAGGAUGCCAAGAAUGAGAAAAAGCAAGGGGUUUGUCCAGGUGGCCCCUGAAUUCUGCACAAGGGAUGGGCCUGGGGGAACUCAAGGGAGGGCCUAAAGCACUUGUAACUUUGAACCGUCUGUCUGGAGGUCAGAGCCUGUUGGAAAGCAGGGGUAGAGGGGAGCCCUGGAGGCAGGGCUUGUCCGGAUGCCUAGGGGUGGGCAGUGCCAGCCCCUCCUCACCACUCUUUCCCUUGCAGUGGAGGAGAGAGCCAGAGUGGAUACUAUUUUUUAUUAAAUAUAUUAUUAUAUGUUAAUAAAAAAAUCUCAUCAAA